Molecule: ribosomal RNA, 540 nt
Filed under: uncultured diatom
Lineage: Eukaryota; Bacillariophyta
Description: partial 16S ribosomal RNA
Rfam family: Bacterial small subunit ribosomal RNA
Source: RNAcentral
AAACCUUACCAACCCUUGACAUAUUGAAAAAUAAUUUAAAUUAAUAAAUUUUUUUUAUUAUUGAUAUUAGUUAAAAAAUUAAUAANUUUUUCAUUACAGGUGUUGCACGACUGUCGUCAGUUCGUGUCGUGAGAUGUUUGGUUCAUUCCUUUAAACGAGCGUAACUCUUGUUUUUAAAAAUUUACUUUUAAUUUUUNAUUUUUAUUAAAAAUUUUGUUUUAAAAAGACUGUUUGUUAAUUAAAACUUUAAAGGAAGGUGAGAAUUAAGUCAAGUCACUGUGGCCCUUAUGGGUUGGGCUACACACGUGCUACAAUGAAAAUGACAAAAAGUAACAAAAAAUUUUAGUUAAUCUUUAAAAAUUUUCUUAGUUCGAAUUGUAAACUGCAACUCGUUUACAUGAAGAUGGAAUCACAAGUAAUCGCAAAUCAGAACGUUGCGGUGAAUACGUACCUUGGCUUUGUACACACCGCCCGUCACAUGCAGAAAGUUAGUUUUACUUGAAAAUUUAAUUCUUUUNUGCUUUUUUNAAAANNNAAAAA